ACGACCUUACUUGAACAGGAUCUGUUCUAUAGGAUCGUACCGCUGCGUCCUUUACCACAAAGGAGGCAAGCACUCAAGUCUGGUUGAUGAGCCAGGACCUCUGCGCCAGAGCGUGAUUAACAGCCAGAUGCCUCCAGGUUGGAGUCAUCCGCCGGCUGUAGAGGAUCGUUCCUGCUGGGCUUUGGCCUGGUUUGGGAUGGCUCAGAGGUUGUCUGACAGACC
RNAcentral lists this small nucleolar RNA (222 nucleotides) under Setaria italica (foxtail millet). RNAcentral describes it as "snoRNA Plant_U3". It matches the Rfam family "Plant small nucleolar RNA U3". Rfam says of the family: Small nucleolar RNAs (snoRNAs) are involved in the processing and modification of rRNA in the nucleolus. There are two main classes of snoRNAs: the box C/D class, and the box H/ACA class. U3 snoRNA is a member of the box C/D class. Lineage: Eukaryota; Viridiplantae; Streptophyta; Magnoliopsida; Poales; Poaceae. The record is from Rfam by way of RNAcentral.